UACAGAGGGUGCGAGCGUUACUCGGAAUUACUGGGCGUAAAGCGCACGUAGGCGGCUUUGCAAGUCGGUUGUGAAAUCCCCGGGCUCAACCUGGGAACUGCAUCCGAGACUGCAUUGCUAGAGUAUGGGAGAGGGAAGCGGAAUUUCUGGUGUAGCAGUGAAAUGCGUAGAUAUCGAGAGGAACACCUGCGGCGAAGGCGGGUUGCUGGGCUGACACUGACGCUGAGGCGCGAAAGCUAGGGGAGCGAACGGG
RNAcentral lists this ribosomal RNA (253 nucleotides) under uncultured bacterium. Its description in RNAcentral is "partial 16S ribosomal RNA". It matches the Rfam family "Bacterial small subunit ribosomal RNA", at positions 524 to 776 of the family's 1533-position model. The record is from RNAcentral.